AAAAAAAAAAAAAAAAGGCAAUGGAAUAAGAUUCAUUAUAAUACAAACAGCCUAGUGUUCUGUUAUAGUGACAUGUUAUUAACAUGUACCAACCUGCCUGUCCCUGAAAAAGCUUUAGGUUUGUAGCCCUGAUGUGGACCCAAGCUCUUUACCUUCUUAUCUUAUUUUCCCAUCUAAAAAUUACUCGAGGGGUCUUUGGAAAUGUUCCUUCAUCAAAAUGUGGGACACCAAGAAUAUUUUCAUGUUUCAUUUAUUAUUUUAAAAGGUUAUUUUCUCCUGUGAGAUAAAUUGAGUUUUUUAAAAGGUAAAACUAGGUGAUUUCUCUUGUUUGGGUUCUACAGGCUAAAAAUUCCCUGAAGCGCAAAGCCAGAAACAGGUGCAACAGUGCCGACUUGGUUAAUAUGCACAUACUCCAAGGUAAGGCUGCAAGAAAUCAGACACCAAGAGAUGCUGCAGAAUGGUGGGCCAUUUUCCCAGAGUUACUUGUCUCUGUACAGUUGCUAAGCCCUCUUAAAAAUCUCCCUUGCCGUUACAAAGUGGUAGUUUCAAGUAAUCAUCUAAGCCUUCUAGGCCACGUAGAUACCCAAGUUGGGAAGCCAUAAAAUGGUUAAGCGGGUUAGAGACUUGGGCUCUAAUCUCAGCUGUGCGAUCUCCUAACUCUAAGGCCUGGGCAAAUCACAUAACUUCUAGGAGUGCAUGGAACACGUCCAACAUGUGCUGACAAUUAUUACUAAUCUGGAUCAUCACUCACUUUGGAAGAGGAUCACAGUUCCCUUGCUACCUCUGUAUUCUCCAGGUAAUUGAUUGUCCUUUGCUGAUGCCUUUACCUUCUGGUGUGCAGGGAAUACAAUCUGAGGAAAUUAGUGCUGAUCAAAGUAGGCCUAGUUCUGCCUUAGGGUGCCACCUCUGUGCUGGGGUAUGUGAGACAAGGCAAACAAACAACUAACUGGUCCCCAUAUUCUGACAUCUGCAUGCAGGAGGAGUGGCUUCUACUCCCGCCUCAUAAGUUGCCUUCCCUGAGACAGAAUCCCCGAGACCAUUGGUGCCCACCCUAAAAGAGGUCCAAUCCCUAAUUUGACAGUUACCUAUGAGAUAUUUGUUCCUUGAACACACACUGUAUUGGGUGUCUGCUAGGAGUUGGCUGCUCUGCCAGGCCAGUGGGUUCAACGAUGAAUAAGACACAGGUUUGUGCCCUCAGAGGGUCUCACAGUAUAACAGAGGACACGAGAAUCACAUUUACAAUCCAGCAUGAAAAGAAAGGAAAUGCCUGGUGUGGUGGGUGUAUGGAAGAGGAUCAAAGAAAAGAGCCAUCGGAAUCAGAAUGGACAGGGGAGGAGUGAGGAAAUGGGCUGGAACGUGAGGGCUGAGCCAGGUAGAAAAAGAUGGAAGGGGGUCGCAGUCUGAGGGAACAGCCUGCACAAGGCCUGCAUGCUAUUUCUCUAGAAUGUGGAUUUCCUUCCAAGACUGAACACUAGCUUUAAAGCGCACGAAAGACUCUGAAAUAUAUCCUGGAAAUUGUGAACCUUGGUUCUUUGAGUGACAUCAUUUGUUAUUUAUUCUGGCUUUCCAAGACUGACCCUUUUUCAACCCUAAAGUAGGUGGGAUAUUUUAAGACGGAGAACUGUUUUCAGGGUAGGGAAAAGAAAGAGGCCAAUGCUGAACUCAAGGGAAGGCUGUGUGGGAUGGGAGGCUUUGAUCUGCGUGAGGCAGCCAAAGGAUGCCAGGUGUCUGGAAAACAGAAAAAAGUCCCUCAAAGGGAGGUGACAGAAUUCUUACCUCCUUUGCAAUGGUGUCUACAAGCCUAGAAGCAGCUGCUAUGUCAGCACAAAAAUCACUGCUGCACAAAAAUCCAAACGAUGUCAUUUCAAAUGACAUACAGACCUUUCAGGCCGGGUGUGGUGGCUCACGCCUGUAAUCCCAGUACUUUGGGAGGCUGAGGCUGGCAGAUCAUUUGAGGUCAGGAAUUCAAGACCAGCCUGGCUAACACCGUGAAACCCCAUCUCUACUAAAUAUACAAAAACUUAGCCGGGUGUGGUGGUGGGCGCCUGUAGUCCCAGCUACUCAGGAGGCUGAAGCAGGAGAAUUGCUUGAACCUGGGAGGCGGAGGUUGCAGUGAGCUGAGAUCGCGCCACCGCACUCCAGCCGGGGCCACAGAGGGAGACUCUGUCUC
This 2170-nucleotide long non-coding RNA is filed under the name Homo sapiens (human). RNAcentral describes it as "long non-coding RNA NONHSAT145700.2". Lineage: Eukaryota; Metazoa; Chordata; Mammalia; Primates; Hominidae. The record is from RNAcentral.